UCCUGUGAUAAAAAAUUUAACCUAAUUUUAGCAUGCUUCGAUUACCGAAUAUGAAAUAACUCCACCCUCCCUAAUCAUCAAUCCCACAAACAUUCCAAACAUAGAAGUGCUGCCUGUAGGGCUACAGUACCAUCCAAGACCCUCUCCUUCAGAUAUAUAUACCUAAACUAAGAAACAUAUAACAUAUGCCUUACUCUAGCAAAUUGGAUCUGAUCCAUGGUUAGAGUCCUUGGCUCACUUUCCAUUGAUGAUUUUCUUUGAAUCCUCACCAUGGCUGUAUCACCUUCCAUCAUUUAGAGAGAGAGAGGUAGCGAAUGAAGCUCUGUGAGCAAGGAGAGGGGGCCUGGAGGAUAUGGUAUUCUUGUGCAAUGUUGGACCUGCACGUACGUGAAAGAGAGCAGCGAAAUCUUUAUACAGGUGAGGUGAUACGUGGCUAGGGGUUAGCUGUUCCACCGCCUAAAGUAACUUCUCAAUGUAGAACCAUCAAGAUCCGACCACGUGGCAAGCUAGGGAUCGUUGAUGGGACACGUGUCAAGUGAUCAUAUCUCCGUCUCUGUUCAAGAAAUCUUUCGGUCCCUAUGUGUACAUGUUCCAUUAGAGGAUAGACUUGUAAGAUUUUGGUUUAGUUAGGUGUUCCUUAUGGUACGGCAACCAAUAAAAAAGGGCCACCUGAUUGGUAGGUGUUUGGUGUUGGAAAUACUGUGACGAACAGAAACAACAAGAAGCAAACCCGAUAUGUGUAAAGACACUCUUUUUAUGGAUAUUUCUCCAUUAUUCAACAUGUUCAUCCUUCAAUCAAGGGAUGCAAGAAGAAUCCAAGCAAGGUACGAGACAAUAAAUUUAUCAUGUAGCAAGCGAAAUAAAUUUAUAUUGGAGAAUUAAAUAGCUGUUAUAAUAAUUUUGAAAAAAAAGCUGUUACAAUGAUUUUUAAAAAAGAGUUGUUGAAUAAUUAAUCCAGCAACUGUUAUAAUGGUUUUAAACAAAAGAGCUAUUAAACAAUAUAUUUUGGAGUUUAAAAAAUUACAAACUAUUAUUGAAGAUAAAAAUUUUAAAAAAAAUAGGUGUUGCUUCAUAUACAGUAGAUAAUUAAAAUUUCUUCUCUUACUCGGCUUGAUUUAAUACGCGUGAAUCCACUAUCUAUUUUUUUUUAUUACAAUCUCAUAUCAAAGUUUACUAUAUAAAUACUAGAUAAAAAUUUUAUCUUUUCAUCGUUGGAUAAAAAGCCUAUUAAUAUAUAUACUUUAUAGAAAGUUGUAUUUUUUUAAUGUGAGAGAAGAAAAUUUUUUAGUUUAAAUAUUUUAACUUAAAAUGAGAAGAUAAUAUAUUUCCAUCAUAAGAUAAAUUUUUUUUUCUAAAAUAAUCUUCAUUAUUUAUAAUAUUAGGUAUUUGGACAUGUGUAUUAUGAUGAUUAGUGGGUUGAAUAUUAAACGAGUGUUUGAGAGUGAUAAUUUUUGUUUUUUGAUACAUUUUAAAGGUAUAUUUGACUUGAAAAUGCAUUAAAAUAAUAUUUUUUAGUACUUUUCUAAUAAGUUUGAUGUGUUAUUAUUAAAUAAAAAUUAAUGCAUUUUUACAUAAAAAAUACUUUACACCACAAUAUUAAACACAAUAAUUACUUGAUAUUCAACACUAAAAAACAUUGUUUUUUGUUGCGUUGCAAUUUGCAUUCCAUCGCAUUGGCAAACAAUGUUGUUUAGGGGUGUGGUGUGUUUGGAACGUCAAGCAUAAGGGCAUUCACAGUCCAGUUCAGUCCGGUUUAAACAUAAAAAUUCAAUCUAAUAGGAAAAUAAUAUUCUUUGUUAAUAUAACCCAAACCAAAUCAAGAACAGGUUCAAACCGAACUAGUUUUGCUCAAGUCGGGUCGUUUUUUUAGCAUUAAAAACCAAAAAAGCCAGAAACCAAUUAAAUGAGCUUGUUUUUAUUAUUGUCAUUGUGCCAAAGCUCUCUUACUCCAUUUCUCACAUAGUUUGUGCAUAUCCAUAAAUGGUUAAUGAAAUAAAUUGAGAUGUAGGAUUAUUAUCUUUAACAUUAAAAGAUAUGAUGAAUCAAAGUUGAGAGAAAUACUUAGAUUUGCAAAUGCACAUGAAACCAUUACAAUCACCAUUGUUUAUGAUUGAUGAUAAAAGUGAAGUGAAGAUUGUGAAAAGCAUUGCCAUAUAAGAGAUUAGAGAGUGAUUAUGGGAGAAGGUGGGGAGGUGUGGUAUCAAAACUUAAAAGGAGGAUUAACACUUCAUAUGAGAGAAAAAUGAAAGGGAAGAGCACAGAUCAGGAGAGGGGGGUGGCCGGAAAGGAAAAGAAUGAUUUAGGGUUAGGGUCAUUAAGGAUGUUUCUUUUUAUAUAUAUUUUUUAAAUUAUUUAGAUUCAAUUAAACCGAUCCAGUUCAAUAGGUUUUGAAACCGAAACCAGACCAAGUGAUUUUUUUAUUUUUUAAUCGAUUUAUUUGAUUUUUUCUAUCGGUUUGGUUUUUUCAAUUAAUUUUUUUUUGGUUUUUUCAGUUUAAUUGGUUAGUCAGUUUUUUUAAACACCCCUACUCAUACACGUGAGGCAUACCGGAAUUAUGGAUUGAAGAUACGUGUUUGUGAAAAUUUGUGAUGAUAAGACUGGUUUAGCCCGAGAAAAGACACACAAAGAUCUUAUAACAAAUAAAUCUUUUCUUUACCAUUUUUAAUCAAUCAUUUUAAAACAUUUUGAUCACUUCACAUCACAUAACCAAUAAUUAUUUUUAUCAUGCCUACACAAAAAAAAUUGUAUGUCUUAAAUGUUUGUUAUUUAUAGUGAAUUCAUAAGAUAUUUUUGUCAAUAUUUUAUGCAUAAAAUCCAUUAUCAUUUGGGGACAAACGGUCACGGCACUUAGACACAGUAAUCAUGGGGACCUGAAGAAAAUUUGUCAAUAGACUUUGGAAAAUUGGUCCCGAGAACCUAGCAAUAUAAUGGAGAUUAACAUAGAAUUUUCUAUAAAAAUUUCAUGGAAACUAUAAGGGCCCGGCCCAACUUGCCAUAUAUUGUCCGUUUUGGACCUUACCGCCCUUACGGUUUUGUUCCUGGUGACGCGAACCCAUUUCUGAGCCUGACGCCCGAAAACACGUAUAACAAGUUGGCAACCAGCACCACUUAUAAGGCCAACAACACACCCCUUAUCCGUCGAUGUAGGAUCUUACAAUCCACCCCCUUUAAGGAGCCCGACGACCCCGUCGGCACAACCGGACAACUAGUGAGGUCGGCUCUGAUACCAAAUGUAGUGACCCGGCCCAACUUGCCAUAUAUUAUCCGCUUUGGGCCUUACUGCCCUCACGGUUUUGUUCUUGGUGAUGCGAGCCCAUUUCUGAGCCUGACGCUCCAAAACGCGUAUAACAAGUUGGCAACCAGCAUCACUUAUAAGGCCAGCAACACACCCCUCACCCGCCGAUGUGGGAUCUUGCAGAAACCCUUUAUCUUAUAUGAGGUAACACAUCCAGAAGAUUAUUUCAUGUUUGUUCAUAUUAUAUCUUAUCCUUCAUAAACUCUUGAAGUUACCAUUUAAGAUUAAUCUUUCUAUCUCUUUUGUGAAAGGUGUGGUCACGAGCUUGAAAAAUAUCGGAUGAUCACAGAUAUAUCUCUUGGUGUUUCUUUUAUAUGCUCUUGUUAGAGAUUAAUAGCGUAGUUGUGACUCUUUAUGUGUAGAAACAUGGGUGACAUUGUAUAGUCACGUUAGCUUCUCCCAUUUUAGUGUAAUUUUUCAUGGAUGAUGAGUUUUGAGCCUAUCUUAAUUUUGCAAAACAAGUCUUGUAUGGACGAGGCACACUCUAACGCUUAGGUUAGUAUUUGAAUUUGUUUGAUUAAGUGACAAGCAUGUAUAAAAUCGAGAUGAUUAAAUAAGUGUUUUUUUGUGUGUAGAGAAAAUAUGUUAAGUAUAAUGUUAUUUAGAUCAAUCCCUUUUCUUUCUCUCAAAACUUGAUAAUAUAUAAUCUUAAAAAAUAUCUAAAAAAAAUAUCUUGUGUAACUCACCAAGAAACAUGAAAGGUGACAAUUUUCUUUCAUGCUAAUUUCCACCAUGCACCUAUAUCUGAAGUCCUAACUGUACAAGUAUAAAAUAAAAAAGUGAAAUAGAAUAGAGAGAAAGGGAAAACAGAGAAGGGCAGCUCAUUUAAGCCAUGACCCAAGUAAGCUAAAAUAGCACAACACAACCGAGUUGAAAAUACAUACUUUGUUUAUUUUUACGUUUUAAAAGUAUUUUUUUAAAAAAUAAUUUUUAUUUUUUUAUUUUAAAUUAAUAUUCUUUCAGUGUUUUCAGAUUAUUUUGAUACGCUGAUAUCAAAAUUAAUUUUUAAAAAAUAAAAAAAUAUUAUUUUAAAUGAAAAAUAUUUAAAAAAAUAACUGCGACCACAUUCUUAAACAGCCUACCUCCAUAACUUCAAUAUAUAGUGAUUUUUUUUACCUAACAGCUUACAACAGAACCAGUCAGUUGGAAUUUGGGCCUUGAAAUGUUUACCAACCAAAAAAUUAGUUGGUGGCCUUUAAACAAUUGACAUGGGGCAAAGAUAAAGAAAAAUAUUAAUGGUUAUGAAUGUAUUUAAAGAAUAUAAUGUAUAUACAAUAUCUGUGAUAAUUUCACUCCGUUUAUUUUAUUUUUUUUACCAGAGACUGUCUCAGAAUCUCUAUUUUUCUUAACCAUGGAGACUAUCGUAGGAACAUUAAUCUGAGAAGCUAUUUAAAACUGUUUUUAAGAGUAUUUUUAUUUAAAAAUAUCUUUAAAUAAUAAUUAUUAUUUUUUUUAACUUAUUUAUAACAUCAACAUGUUAAAUUGAUUGAAAAUUAUAAAAUAAUAAUUUCAAAAAACAAAAAAAAAUUAAAAACACUUUUUAAUAAAAAACAAACACAGAGAGAAACACCUGCCAAACUGGAGCUGUUCUUUCCAGUUGUCCCGUCGACAUCAUGCAUGAAUGGGUUUUAGGUCAGCUUUGGAGAGGACAAUAAGGGGGAUCUGCAGAAUCUUACCUUUUCAUUUUGGAUUUGACUGGUCGUGUCGUUUGUUUCCAGUCGUUGUUUCCCCUUUUGUGAUUUAAUUUGUCGGCCAAACAUUAAAGAAAUAGCUUAAAAAGAAAAACAAAGAAAUUUGGCCUCCUUCUCGGUAAACGUUACCGUAUCAAUAUCAUCGUUCCACUCCUUUACGUAAAUUAAAUCCUUAAUUUAUUCCCUAAUUUAUGUACAUAUCAUCUCCAGACUGGGUCAUGUAAUUAUCCAUUUCUUUUUUAAAAAAUAUUAAUUUUAUAACAACUGACGGUGUUAACUGAGUUCCAAUUCCACUAAUUUAUAGUAUGAUUAAGAGUAUAAUUAUAAUUAUUUUUUAAAAUAUUUUUUUAUAUUAAAAUACAUUAAAAUGAUAUUUUUUAUUUUUAAAAAAUUAUUUUUGAUAUUUGUGUAUCCAAACAAUAUAAAAUAUAAAAAAAAUAAUUUUUUAUAUUAAAAAAUUAAAUUUAUUAAAAACACGAGUUAAUUUAUAUUUCUAAACAUAAAUUUAAUAUUAAAAUUAAUUCAAAAUAAAACUUAACCCACGUGAUAAUGGAUUUACUGCACUAACCCGCUCAAUCGGAUUGAAUUUAAAAACUUUUUCUCUGUUGAGUUUCGAAACAAAACUUUUAUAGUCAGCAAAAUCUCGUGAACAACGAAAUCUCUGGUCAAGAAAGGGAAAACAAGAGAUUUAAAGACAAAAAAACGAAAAGGGUGAGGAUACUUUUGGGUAUGUCACAUACAUACGAAAUUAGGUACGUGGCAUUUAGCUUUAGUUCAUAUCAAUCUAAUCAUCGUAGGCAAUUAUUAUUUGGUGAGCACAAAACUCAGUCAAAGCUACUGCGUGUCUAAUAUUAUUAUGAUGUAAAUUAUAUUUUUUAAAUGUAUUAAAAUAAAUUUUUAUUUUUACUUUUUGUAUUAGCGUAUUAAAAUAUUAUAAAAUAAAAGCUACUAUACUUUUUUUUUUUUUAGCUAUAAUAUCUUAGAGAAAGAUGUGAAAUUUGGAUGCAUACUUGUGAAGAAGCUUGAAAAUGUUUUAUUGAUAAUUAUGUAUCAUAGAAAUUUCUCCUCCAUACAAAUGCUAUUUUUAAAAAUGAGCAAAAAAACUAAAAAAUCGAUUAAACUAAAAAAACUAGAAAAAUAAUAACCGAAAAAACCGAAUCUUUAAAAAAAUUCGAUUAAAAUUUUUUAAAAAUUAACCGAUUAGGUUUCGGUUUUAUAAGUCUAAAACCAAAAAAAUCAAACCGAACCCAAACAAAAAAAACCGGAAAAAAACCAAGCCAGAUUGAAAAACUGAGCAAAACUGGUUUGAACCGGUUUUGGUUUGGUUUUAAUUUUUUUAAAAAAAAUUUAGUUUAAUUACUUCUUUUUUUUUGUAAUAAAUACCUAACUAUUCCUUACCAUUGACAAUAUCUCUACAUGCUCAAACAACUUUAUUUUAUUUUUCGUUUUAAAUCUCGACUGAUUUUUUUUCCAUUGAGUUUUAAACAUAUUAUUAUAUCCAAACAGAGUACGUAUUUUUUUUUCUACGUUUUUGAAAUAUAAAUCAUUAGUGAAAUCAUGCGUGAUAAAAUCCAUUUUCAUCCUAACAAAACCUUUUAGGAUCCUGGUUAAAUAGUUUUAUUAAAAAGAAGGGAAAAAAAGAGUUAAUUUUGUUUCUUUAAUACAAGAAUAAGUGUACUUUUUUAUGUGAACAGUCUCAAUACCGUCUUGACUCUUAGGCGAAAUCAAUGACCCCCCCCCCCCCUCCUAAUUUUGUUAAAGAACGAUGAACUCGACUAGACUUUCAUUUUCUUACCAACCAAACACUAUUUACUUUUAAUAUGUCAGAGUUAGAUGCAUAAGGUAACUAAGGGUGUUUUAGAAUUAUAAUACAUUUUGAUAAAAAAUAUUUGUGAAAAUAACACAAGUUAGAAAAGCAUUAAAGAAAUAAUAUAGUUUGAAUACAAUUGAUGUUAAAAAUAGCAGUAGAAGAGAACCUUUAUGAAAAAUAAUAAUUGUUUUAAAAAUUAUAUAUUUCUCAAUUUAAUUAUUAUUUAUAAAAAAUCAACCUAAAAUUUUAUAAAAAUUCAGUGAUCAAGAAAUGAGACUCAACAACGGAAACACAUUGAAGUUCCAUUUUCAAUAUACCUAAUAUUGUUAGAAAAAUCUUGACAAAAAUAUUUUAACAAUACAUUAAAAAACAAUCAAACAUAAUUGUAAUUUGUUGAGUCUUCUUCGAGGUUAAUUACAACCUCAUUUGCUGUUAUUUUAAGGUGUGGUUGCGAGUUUAACGAGAUAAUCCGUGUUGGUUAUGUUUUAAUGACAGAGGUUAUAAAUUUUCUAUGUUAAUUCGAGUUGAUUAAAAUCAAUUUUUUUAGAUUUUUUUCUUACUUGAAAUUUUCCUUUUGUAUUUAAUGGUAUGAAAAUUAAGCUAUAAUUUUUUGUUUCAUUUUAAAAAAUAUUUUUUUGUUAGAUUAUCAUUUUUUUAAUCUUAUCUAUUUGUCGCCAUUGUCUUUUUUUUUUUUUUGCAAUAACUUGAUUAAAAUAAAAUUAAUUUAUUUAACAUAGUCAUGUUGCAACUCGUGUCGCGAAUUCUUCUCCCUUUAUUUGAAAUGUGUUUGCAGCACAUCGACAUCAUUUUUUAUGAAAAAAAUCAAUCUUGUGGUAUAGCUUGUAUGAUUGUAUCCAUAGCUAGUGUGUACUCUAGUCACUCUAUACUAAAUCCUUCCUUUGUCAAUUUUCAAUAAACAUCUUUUACAAGGAUUAAAAUUCACCUAAUUCAUCAUAUAUUUUAUGUAAUUUGAUCUGGUUAGAUCAGAUUUUUAUCCAACUUGACAAGAGAUAGAUGUGAAAAUGGGUGAGAGGUUUACCCAACCAAGAAAUAGAUGUGCAGAUGGGUGAGAGGUUUACCCAUCCCAAUCUUCCUGGUUUUUUAACCCUUUUAUUUUAUUUUAUAGACGUGUCAUUUUAUUUUUCAAAAUAAUAUAUAAACAUUUAUCUUAUUAUUUACAAAGUAUUUUUAUGAUUUAUGGAUUUAAUUUUUAAAUUUUAUUUUACAUUUUUAUGAUUUAUAAAUAAAAAUAUAUUUUGUUUAUUUUAGAGUUAGACUUUAUCUUUUAAUAAUUAAUUUAAAAAUAAAAAAAAUAAAGCCAGGUUAGGUACUCAGUGGGUACUCGUCAGGUAAAGAAAGUUUUCCUUCUAACUAAUUGAAUUGUUGCGAAGACACGUAAUAAAUUUAGAUAAUUUCAAAAUUAAGCUCCAACCCCUUCCUUAGCCUAAUGGACAUACAAAAAGAUUAAUUUUUUUAUUAUUUAAUAGAUGGUUUAUUAAUAAAAAUUUGAGAUUAGAAAAUUUAUUUUCUUUAUAGUUUUAAGUUCGAGUCUUGUGGUUGUUAAUAUGAUAGCCACUAAAAACUUAUAUGUUAUUAAUUUUUUUAUUAUUUAAUAGAUGGUUUAUUAAUAAAAAUUUGAGAUUAGAAAAUUUAUUUUCUUUAUAGUUUUAAGUUCGAGUCUUGUGGUUGUUAAUAUGAUAGCCACUAAAAACUUAUAUGGUUGUUACCUUUAGGGCCCGUGGUAUUAGUUGAUGUGCACGCAAACCAACUCGAACACCCACAUUAAUAAUAAUAAAAAAAAAUAAUUUUUCCCCCGAAUAUUAACUCUAAAUUUGAACUGUAGGAAGCCAAACCACCAAACUUACUAUUAAGAUGGUUAAAGUAUAAUAACUCAUCAACAACCUUUUCUCGGUGUUCAUGAAUAAAAGUUGAGCAAAAAAGAGAAAGUUUUAUAAAAAAAAAACAACGAAACACUCCUUCUAGCUUAUAUCUUAAUGCUGUAUUUGUUUUUGUGAUCUGAUGACGUUUUAAUUUUUUUUAGUGUUCAUGAACAAAAGUUAAGAGAAAAAAAAGAGAAUGUUUUAAAAUUAAAAACAACAAAACAAUUUCGCUUUCGCUAGCUUAUAUCUCUGAUUGUAUUUGUUUUUAUAGUUUAACCAUGUUUUUUAAUUUUUUUUGUUUUAAAUUAUUAUUUUUUGAUAUUUUUAAAUUGUUUUGAUGUUUUAGUAUUAAAAAUAAAUUUUAAAAAAUAAAAAAUAUUAUUUUAAUAUAUUUCUUUUAAGAAAAUAAAACCACCUUUCUUCUUAUCCGCACCUGACCAAAAUAAAAAAAAAUCAAAAAAUUAAAAAAAGCCUACAGCUCAUUCCCUCCCUCCUUAAUCAAGCAUCAAUCAAUCUUCGUUGAACCCACUUAUCUUUCUACUUAAUCAACCUUUUCUUAAUUCUACUUUGAACAAAAAUAAAAUUUAUAUAUAUUAAAAAAAAAACAAAAAACACAAAAACUGGCAUUGACAGAAUAUAUUCAACCUUCGCCAUUCCCAAGAACCAAACUAAAAACAAAAAAAAAUCUCUUUUUAAAUUAAUAAAUAAAAGUAAAUUGAAGGACUGGAAACAGGUAUCUUUCAUAGACACCAAUCCUUCUCUUCCCUCACUCCUCAAUCCUACCCUCUCUCUGUAUGGCUUGACCCGGUCUAUCACUCAGUACUGAUUCAUGGCCCAGUCCAAUCACAUAAGGCAAUGCUCUACUUCCCACCCUCGUCGCCGGAGAUCUUCUUGGUGUUGUUCCUUCGCUGUGCAGCCUUCAAGCCCGGAGAACCGUCCCUUCACAAAACCCGCUUUCCGCAAGAACAUGAAACCCGAUAGUUCGGUCUCUAAGCCUGGCCCCUACUCGGUCCCCAACUCACCCAAAUCCGGGUUAAAUUUUGUGGGUCGGAUCGACCCGAGAAGAAUGCUCUCUCCAGGCCGCGUCUCGCCUAUUGAUUCGGAUCCUACUGCCGACACGACCCGAGAUAUCAUACCCGACCCGUCACCUCAGGUGGAUUUGAGCUCGAAAUCGAGAUCCGAAUCUUUCCGGGGAAGGAGUGAGAGGAGGUCGUUUUCGGAUACUGGGUCAGAUUCGGGUCGGGGCGUUUUUGAUGCGAGGCUGAAUUUGAGAGGGAGGAAUGGUGGGGGUUUAGUGCUAGAGCUGGAUUCGGAGGUCUUGAUUGCAAAUUCAGAAGUUUUUGCGCGUUUGAUUUGCGAAUAUCGAAAAAAAUUGGGGUCGAAAUGUAUUAGUAACGAGGAUGGUGGUAAUUUGUCAAGAAAGAUUUGUAGAAUUGAAGUGCCUGAUGUGGAGAAUUUGGGAAUUUUUAGGGACACAAUUGAGUUGAUGUUUGAAGAGGAUAUUUCUAAAAGGUUACUCAAGAUUGGGGCUUAUAGAGCCAUUGACAUACUCGAGGUUAGUUGCUGCUGCUUCCUUUUCUUUUCUUUUUAAUUUGAAGAUUUUAGUUGGGUACUGUCUCUAUUUUGGAGGAGAAUUUUUUUUUUUUUAUGUUAUUUUGAUUUAGGGGCUUUGGAUCACUUAAGUUUGUGUAGUUACAGGAAUUGCUGUGAAUAGUUGUGCUAUGACUGUUUAACCUCAGUUAUUUGUACAUGACAUGUGCUUGUGGUCAAGCGUAAGGAUGCUAUGGAGACACUUGUGUAUGUCAUGCACGGAUGGUUGAGAUUGGACUGUCACAUCAAUUGCAAAUGUUCAAUUCAUUCUUCGCAGGCUUAUAUCUUAAUCCUGCUUUGUAUCGAUGCAAUACCAUUGCUCUACAAGAGCUAGAAUAGUGCUAUCCGAUUUUAAUUUAGAGUAAUGGAUAGGUUAAGGUAGCAGUUGGAUAGGGGUUUUGAGCAGUCGUGACAUCGUUGUCGUUGUUUGUGCAUGACUUGAGUAUAUGAACUGGUGGGAUUCCCAGGUGCAUGCCCGUGUAUGACACGGGCAAUUGAGAUUGAACAAUCACAUUGAUUGCAACUGUUAACAGUUUCCUUUGUGUGCUUUCUGGAAUACCUGAUAAUCUUGAAUAGAUGGUUAAGAUAAACAGUGAGCUAAGUGCUCCUUAAUUUUUUUCACUGCAUAGAAUUGUUCUCAAGGAAUCAAUGAACAUUUUGGGCAGGCUUUGCAACAAGCGCAUUAUGAGUUCUGAGAAAUAGCUCAUGAUAUUAUGGGGAUAGAAUUGUGGGCUAGGUUAUAGAUGUAGUUGUCUGUAUGAACUGCAAGGCAUGUGACAUAGCAAAAUAAUUUCUCAAACAUACCUUUGUCUCUUGUUCAAGUACAUUUUGUUCUAUCAUUCAUUGUUGAUUACUGGAUGUGUUAAAGAGUAAACGGGGGUGAGGACCUUAUUGACUGUCUACUUUGCAAUUGACUUGUAAUUCAUGGUGCCUUUGAACAUGUCUUUUAUCUUAUACUUUUGAAUAGAAAAGAAUUUGUAAAUAAUGUUACAUAAUCAAGUUGGAGAAACUUUUUUCUUAGCUUCAAAUAUUUUGCAGACAAUUUGUUUUUAAGCAUCAUGCUAUGAGUUGGAAGAAAAUGAUCUAUGCAACUGAUCCCAAUUAAUCAGAGAUUGAGAUUCAGUAUAAUAGAGUUGACAAUUACUCAUUCCUCACUAAGACACAACACACACAUGCAUGUAUGCUUAUAGACAUGUACAACUCACUUUUUGCAAGGGACCCUACCUAAUCCCUUCUUCAUAAUCUUCCAUUUAGAUAUACUAGAUGGAAAUUGAGUCUGUAAUCAUUUUUUGAGGAUCCUCGAAGUGUUUGUUUGGUAUUAUAGGAGCAAUCACAAUCUUUUCAUCCUAAUUGGAAAAGCAUCAAUAUGAAACUUUUCCAAUUUGAAUGGGAAAAAAAAAACCCAAGUUUUUUGUCAUUGCAACCACAAUGUCAUACACAAACAAAAUUGUUUCUGCUCAUCAUUUUUAUAACAGAAGAGUCGUCUUUAGAACCACUUCUGUGAAAAAAUUUCUCAUAUAAAGAGAUCAAAGAAAGAUCAGUUGAUGCAUUUUUCUUUUUAACCUAUUUUGGAGGCAUUAUUAUUUAGGAGUUGAAUUCAUAGAUUAUGCUAGGUGGGAUAUCUUAAAAUGGGUGAUGUAUUUGAGCAUUGGCUCGAUGUCAUUGGGCUGCUAGAUUUGAAUAAAAUAGCAAAAGGUUAUCAACAAGAUUCACAUCUUGUAGUUUAAUGGCUAUCGAUAUUGUGUCAAUGAUCAAAGUGUCGAGUUGUAGCAAACACCCAUUAUUAUGAUCUUCAACUUCUUGUACUGUGCUCUCCCCUUUUCUAGAUUAUUACACAGCCUGGCAUUAGAAAAAUGAUUGCGCAAAUUAAUUACCAUAACAUAGAAAAGUUUACAGUACAAGGGCUUAGAUUUUGUCUGUUGUAGCCACAUAUUGAAGAAACUCAAAUGAGGAUGUGUUUUACUGACAGUCACUUUGUCUUUAUCUAUUUGCUUAUUGAUCUAACAAGAUCUUUUGAAACUAUUGCAGGUAUCAGCUGGCAUCAUGUUUACUAAAGGUGUUUUAUCUUGUUUGAAAUACCUUGAGGCUGUUCCUUGGACGGAGGAAGAAGAAGACAAACUUAGGAAUCUAUUUACAGUGUUUAAAUUUGAUGAGACCACAACUCGAGAUAUUUUGGCUAGACUCCACUUGCUUAGUUCAGAAGAUUCUCAACAAAAUUUAGCUAGGCAGCUUGUUUGGUCUAUUACUACUUGUGCUGAUGCCAACGCAAGAAAUGAACUGAAGUCAUUAGUUAAGGGUCUCCUUUGCAAAAGUUCAGUGUACGAGAAGGACCGACAUGAUCUCACCAAGGAGGAUCUUUAUGAUGUUUGUCAUUCCUGUUUAGGUUCGUUAGUCAGCCUCAUGGAGGAAGCCUCUGAUAUCAUACCCCAAGGGACAGUGGUGAAAAAGGAAACAAGUAAGCCCUUGAUUGGACGCAUCUCCAGACAGGUUGAUAACAUCAUUUGGCUGCUGGAAAUCCUCCUUGAUCGUCAGAUUGGUGAGGAGUUUGUGGGAAGGUGGGCAGAUCAAGUGGACUUGCUAAAAAUGCAUGAGAGUACAUCUCCGAUGAUUAGAUACGAGCUCAGCCGGGUUUCUGCAAUUUUAUUUAUUGCAAUGGGAACAAGAAAAUUGCAUUGCCGCUCAGAAGCAAGAGCAGUGCUUCUCCAGGCAUGGUUUGGCCCAAUGCUACUGGACUUCGGUUGGCUACAGAGAUGUAAAAAAGGUUUGGACAUGAAAGCAUUAGAAGAAGCCAUGGGUCAGACACUCCUUACACUUCCUAUGAAGCAGCAGUAUAUGUUGUUCACAGAAUGGUUUGGGUAUUUCUCCAAGCAUGGUACUGAAUGUCCCAAUCUCAGCAAAGCCUUCCAGAUCUGGUGGCGUCGUUCAUUUCUCAGAGGGUCAGAAACUCAUGCAAUUGAAUCCAGGUAAUAGGUGUCUCUUGUCAUUGCCUACCCCUAUAACCUUUGUUGUCGUGUAUGCUGAGGGUUUCUGAAAAUUAGGAACUGAAUAAUGUAUAUCUUUAUGUAGAAUCGUUGUAGUAGUGGUUAGAGCAUUAAGUGACAAGAUAUUUUAUUUUUUUCGCGAAAUUUAUUUUUAGCCUCAUCCAGUAUAAAUUAUUUUGUGAAAAAUAUUUUCAUGAGGAAAACAUGAGUUAUUUGAAGGAAUAUAUUUUUCUAUAAUUUAUAUUAUUGUUUUGCAAAAUGAGAAAUUAUAAUAUUUAUGAUAAAAAUGGUGGUGGUAGUUAUGAUGGCAGCAUUCAAGAUUAUAAUGGUAUAGUAAUAGAUUCAAGACUAUAAUGAUGAUUGUUGUUUAGUGGCAAUGACAAUAAUGAAGAAAUGAAAAUCGCGAUCUUUUCUUCAUGUUUUGUUAACUGCUAAUUAUUACUCUUAGCUUCAGAGAUAUAUCCAUAUGCCUGUUAAAAUAAAAUAAAUAAAUAAAACGUGUAAGAAAAUUCAAGAUAUUAUGUUAUAAAAACAUUAAAACUUAAAAAUAUCCACCAAAAUUAUAAUGAAAUCCAAGAAUUAUCUUCUAGGACGUAAUGAUGAAGGCACCCUCUUCCCAUGCCUUGUAUUUUUGUUCUUCGCAUUGAAAGAUUAGCCCAUCUUAUCUUAAAAGCCGUUGAAAAGAGUUGACUGGGAACCUUUCAAGGUGGCUGGAAAUGGUCUCAAAAAGUGUUCCAUGGAGAACAGGGCUGGAGCUUAGUAGAUGUAUGGGUUUUCAAUGGACUCAUAACCUUGGGAAGAUACCUUGGAGUUCCUUUUCUCCCAGAGAAGGGUCACUAAAAGUACUCGUGGAUAGAGUGAACCGAAGAUUAGCCUCAAGAAGAACUAAACAAUUAUCGUGUGUGAAAUUUUAAAUGGAUAUCGUGGAUAGAGCUGGAUUCCCAGUUUUUCCGCUAAUCUCUGGCCUUUCGUACAAAAAACGGAAGAGAAAAAAAGAACAAUGAACUUGGUUCAUGGGAUUAUAAAUUAAAAAAUAAAAAAUUUAUUAAUAUUCAAGUAAAUUAAAUCAAUCGUCUUAUAAAUUUAUCUUUUUAUCCAAUAAACUCAAUCUGUAAAAGAUUUUUUCUCUCAAAAUCUUAAGGGGUUGACUUAAUAGUUAAAGAUAUAUAUUUUAUUUCUUGAUUUUUUAUAUUUAAAUCCUAAGACAAGUAUUUAAAGAUUAUCUAUAAUAGCCUUUAAUUGCUAUCUUAAAUUAAAAUAAAAAAAAAUGUUGUUUUAUCCCUUUCGUUUGUUUUGAAGGAAAAAAAUUACAUAGAAAUAGAUUUAUUUAAUAUUUUGAUAUUUAUUUCUUUAAAUAAAUAUGUUUUUACUCUCUCUCUCUCUCUCUAUAUAUAUAUAUAUAUAUAUAAGAAACAGACUAUAUCACUAUGAAAUAUACGUUGUUUUGGUUGGGGUAAAUCCAGUCAGUGUAAUAAUUUUAUAUUCUUCAGGAUAUUUCUUUUCGUUUCCCUUUCUGAAUUAUUUAAAAUCAACGACUCUAACCAACACUGCCACCCAGCCUUUUCAUUCACUCUACGAGUGUUGACACUCAAUUACUCUGACACUCAAUUACUCUCUCUUAGCUGCUAGCUGGCUUCUACUGUCACCUUCAUGUACUACUUUCUUUUGUACAUUUUGUAGUCUGUUUGGUUCCUGAGAAAAAAAAAGGAAUGAAAAAGAAAAAUGGCUUUCUUUUUAAUGCUUUCUUCUGUUUUAUGUAACAAUCUGAGGUUCAGUUUUGUCAAAGAUUGCCUGCAAUUCCUUGGCUAUGUCUUAUUGUCUGUGGAAAAACUGCUGCAUUCUCUUUUGAUUGUGGUUAAUGUACUAUGAUUGGCUUCAAAAAGGUUAAGAUGCUGAUUUUUUGUGUUUUUCUUUGUUGGGUUGUUUAGAUAAGCUAAUUUGCGCAAAAGGGUGUCGGUCAAGAUUCAUGCUUGUAGUGAAAAUUCAUGUCAUUUUGUGUAAUGAAGUGAGGUUGUAGUUUUCUGGGUUUAGGCCAAAAAUGAUACCAAGUAGGCCACAGGCUCCAAUUGGUGGUUCCUCUUUGUUUAACCUGUGCUUUUGAGAUCAAAUUCUGCUAUUUUGGGGUCUCAAGGAGGUGGUUCCAUGCAGCUAGGUCAGUAUAACAUGAAUUUGGUUAGGGACUUUCCAAGUAUGUCUUCUCUUAUCAAUCAGAGUUUUGGGAAUGGUGGCUCGAGCUCUGGACUUUCUGGUUUGGAGUCUAAUCCCAUUUCUAUGGUAGCAAAUGAUGUGGGUUUCAGCUCAUCAUCUGAUGGUUUUAAUACGGUGAGUUCUGGUUCAUCCGGGAAAGUUCAAAGCAAGCGAAUUGCCAACUCUUCUGGUAAUCACCAACCUCAAGUUCAACAAAUUCGAGCCACUCAUGUUAUCGCAUGGGCAGAAGCAAUUCCAUUCCAUUCGAGGUAGUUUAGGGGCGAUGGGACCUGUAAAAUUGGAGCCACAGGUAUUCAAUGAACAGAUUGGUCCCCAGCGUAGGUUGCAGUCCUUGCAGAGUCUGGGUUCAGUGAAACUAGAACCACUACAGAACCAGAUUGGAAGAGGCUCUGGACCUGUUAAAGUUGAAAAUCAACUUUCUGUUCAGUCGAAUUUACGACAGCAGCAGCUCCUCCACAUGUCCAGGCAGUCUACUCAGGCUCCUGCUGCACAGAUGAAUUACUUGCAGCAACAGCAGCAGCAACCUUUGAGGGCAUUUCCUCAUCAACAGCCCCAAAUGCAACAGUUUCAACAGCAAAAUCUGCCAGUUAGAUCUGUUGCAAGACCACUGUAUGAACCUGGAACAGGUGCUAAAAAAAAUACAUCCUUGCAUAGAGCUUCCUUAAAGUAAAAGCUAGUAUUUUUUACAAACACCAAACUGACAAAUAGAUUGCAAUGACACCUUGCUAGCUGCUGCUAGGUUCGUUGAGGAUUCCCAAGUAUUCUGCUAAAAGGGGGGGAAUAGCUUCAAAGGUUAUAUAUUGGUGAAAAUGGAUUAAUAUAUUACUUGACAACCUAUAUGUGACAAAACAAACUUCUCCUAUUUGUCCCAAACGCAUCAGAGUUUCCUAGAAUGCAGGCUAAAUUUGAAUCUUUUGAGUUUUGAUUCGUGGUUAUUUAAGUUUUUAUUUCACAUAAUAACAUCUUGUUUGUUUUCCAGAGAGUUUGGCUCAGUUCCCCCGCAGAACUAGGCCUUUUUCUGGGCUGCACAGUUCUGAUCAGCAACCACCCGAGAAAAAGCAGCAUACUAGACCUACAUCGAAUGAUGAUCUUCAUUCUGUACAGGCAAGUGUCAUGCAUCCUUCCACAAGCAAUGGUGUUGCAAGUGCAAACAAUUCCCUCGGCACAAGCUCCACCUCUUCCUCUGCCAUUACUGUUGCCAGGCUUUUUCAUCAGAAUUCCGUGAAUUCACGGAUUGAAAAUCAGAUGACUAGUCCAGGCAGUCCAUAUACUGGAACAUUUGUUCAGAUUCCAUCUGCUGUCUCUUCAACCACUCUGACACUAGCUCAGCUCAAUCCCUCCUCUCCCUUCUCUUGUUUAACACCAUCAUCAUCUAAUAAUCCUCAAAGUUCUCACAAUAUGUUAGCUGGAUCAACUGCAAUAAACCAUGUCAGUUCAGCACAUUCACCUUUUCAAACACCAAUGGAGCAGUCAUCUCAGUCAAAUGAGGUUGAUCCAAAUGAAUUUCAGAGCUCUGUUGAGAAAAUUAUACAAGAAACGAUGAUUUCUUCACAGUUCAGUGGGGCAGGUGGUAUGGUCAGUGUGGAUUAUGAAGGAAAUGAUAUGAAGGACAUAAAUAGGGUCACACGGCAACACAAAAUGAGUUCACCAGUGGCUCUUGCCUGGAGGGCAAUGUGAUGGGAAACACGAGGUCAGGUACUAUGGAUGGAGGAUUUGGGAGUUUGAAUGGUCAAACUCAUCUCUCUGCCUCUACUAGCAGAUUCACGCUGCCAUGGGGAAUGUCUCCAGCACUUUGUCUGGUAGGUUUGCCAUGCCAGUGAUGGAUCAUGAUGCUGGUAUGAAUCAUCAACAACAGGCACUGGCUUAUCAGUUGCGUCUUGGAGCAGUAAAUAGAUUUCUUGAUAACCAAUUUGAUUAGAAAUCUCCCUGAAGAGUAGUUAAUUUUACUGAUACUUUCAUGGUGAUAGUUCAGACCUAGUACGAUACCAUUCAGGUGGUGAUACAAGGGGCUUGAGACGUGGCCAUUUUAUCCUUUCUGCUGAAUCAUGAGAAAAAUUUGUUUCCUUUGAUUGGCAGCAGCUGCAUAUUGUACAAAUAUAGAACUUCUUCUGCCAAUAGGCAAUUUCAGCUGAUGGUGAUGGGGAGGCAAUAUUUUCUUAAUUAGCCAGAGAUGGAUUAGAAUUUUAUGUUUUCAGAAAGAAUCAAGGAAUAUUCUGCUUUGAUAAUGAGUUCCAUUUGUUCCAUGUCUUUCUCUAAGCUAAUGUAAAAUUCUGCAAUACCUUAUCACUGCUGCUUCGGGAUUUCUUCGCACCCGAAUCACUAGGAAUCCUCGUUACUUCAAGAUGUUGUUCUUAGUUACAUAUAAAUGGUUAAGGAUGGUUUUUGCAAUCGCCUUGGUUUUUUGGGUAAGCAAUGAUCGACCAAUUUUCAUGGAUGCAUUUUAGCUCAAGCUCAGAAAUGCGAGACACGCAGCAAUUGCGGUUCAGCAGAUACAUGUUUUUAUCAAACUAGACUAUCAUGAUAUAAAAACUUGAACAACAUUGACAUGACAAAUACAAGGCAAUGACAAUUGUAACUAAUGAUUUCUAAAUGAUGUUUGCUGCUGCUCUUUAUUCUCUUCAAGCUUCAACGUAUUUUUCAAUGGCAGCAGCCAAGGUAGCCUUUGGAACUGCACCUAUAACACCUUCCUUCUUCUCUCCAUUCUUGAACAUUAGCACUGUGGGAAUGCUUCUAAUCGCAUAUUGUGAUGCAAUGUUGGGCAAUCAUCAGUGUUCACUUUGUAACAAGCAAUCUUUCUGCGUAUUCUGCUGCCAAUUCAUCAAUCCGUGUUAUCAUCCGGCAUGGUCCGCACCAUGGUGCAAAUCAACUAGAACUGGGAUUUCACAGCAAUAACCAGGCUAUCCCAGCUUGAAUCUGUCACCACUUGCACUGCCAUAAAAAAAUUUAAUCCCAAGAACAUUCAGUGCACAAGCGCAAGCAAAAAUGAACAAUAGUUGCUUUCUUUUUUCUUUUUUUUUUUUUAAAAAAGCUAUUGAGAGGGAGGGAGAGGGGCUUACCUACACCGACAGCUUCUUGAGCUUUGCAUACAAUGGUGGAUUUAUGAUUUUUGACUGAAGCAUAUGAAGAAGAGAAAGAAGAUGGAAAUGACAAAGAAGAAGACCUCCUUAACCCCCUGCCUGUGGGCAAUUUCAACUUUUCUUUUGAGCAAGCUACAUGGUUUGAACAUAAUACUCCAGCCCUAGUAGUAGACAUGGUGCUCAUAUUCAUGCUUGCGUGAAGAGCCAUGAACUUUAUGCUGCCUUUUCCCCUCUGUUUGCUAGGUUUUAUAUCCUUUGUUUACUUAGAAAAUGAAUCCUAGAUAUCCAGAUAUUAAGGGAAAAAAGGGUACUCAAAACAGAUAAAAGAAAGCAUGUGAUCUUUCUUUUUUUCAACUUGUUGGAUUUUUAAGUGGAUAUUGUAAGAGAAAUGUAAGGUUGAGGUGACUCCACUCUCGUGGAUGAGAUUUGUCCUCAUAUAUCUCAUCACAUGAAACUACUUUGCUCUGGAAAAUAACAUUUGGAUUUUUGUAUCUCUAUUUUAAACAAUGUGCAGAGCAAAGUUGUUUUUUUUUCUUUUUCUUUGAUAUAUAUUUACUUUUCCGUCAAAAAAAAAAAAAAUCUUGACAACAAAUGCCACUACCAAUCUACUAUGGAGUUGUUAAUGGGCUGAGCUCCACUUGAUUUUGUCAAAAUCUAAGUGGGCUUGAAUCAAAAUCCAGUAAAACUAUUUUAAGGGUUUAAGAUGAGGCCAACCUCAAACUGGGAUGCUUUAUAGCCUUAGACUAUUUGGUUCUAGUCAGUUCAUUCAUAUCCAUCUAUAUAAUGGCCAAGAGUGAUAAUUUACGUGAUAUUGAGAUCGUGAAAAAAACCUUAGAUUUCAAUGAACUUUUCAUGAUUAUCUUAUGAAUAUCUGGGUUUUUCUUGAAAGAUAAAUUCUUUAUGGAUACAUGAGAUGCUCUGAUAUUCAAGUUAAUACAUAAAAGAUAAAUAUAAUAUAGGGAAAAUAAAAUAAAAUAAAGCGAUAGAUAAUGAGAAGAAAAUUCUUGUGCGAGACUGAUUUUGUCUUUUAAGUUUGUGCAUGGAGUCCAAGACUUAUCUAUUCUUACAUGUGACCGUGGUAUUUAUACAUCUAGUGGUUCUUGAACUUAGUUCAUGGAGGAGAAAAAUAUUUUUUUAAAAAUUGAGUCAUGGGAUGUCUUGUUGUACUUUUAUUGAUGGAGACAUUAAUGAUAAUAUUUUUCUAGAAAGUUGAGAGUUGCUAUGUUAUGUUUUUCAUUUGUGAAGAUGUUAGUAGUUAUAAUACCAAGAAAUAACGACUGUCUAGAAAGGCAUUAUUGGUGAUGAUGUUGACAUUUAUAGUACCAAGAAAUAACCAUUGUCUAGAAAAACAGUGCUUGUAUUACAUAGAAAAAUCGUGCAAACAUGGAAAGUUUAUAUGUGAUUCUUGAAAACUUAAAAUGUAUAGAGGUGUGUGUAUGACAUUGCUUGGUAAGGAAGAAAAGAAAUUAAAAGAGGAAAGAGAAAGGAAGAAAAACCCAUUCGUUUGGUUGAUCUAUACUAUUAAAGGAGCAACUUGGCUAGCGUGUGGAAAAGGUUGGUCAUCUUAGCCAUUGGUACUAGAGGUAUUAUCAUCAGAGCUUGCAUAUGACCUCGACAUCAUAUUCUUUGUUUGUUUGUUUGUUUUUUCCUUCUUCUCCAUCUUUAUUUGUCUUUUGUGCAAACCCAUUUAUUCUUUACUCUUUUUUAGCCAUUGGAUCUCUUUAUUUGGUUUUGUGGCUAUUGAAUCCUCAUAAAACUUGUGAGUUGACUUUUGCUUAUCACAACUCAUGAGAGGAUAAUUCUUAUGGAACGCAUAAGAGACAUGCACAGGAGAAAAAAAAAGUGUGGACAUGGCUAGGUCUUUAAGCCAUUUAGACCCAAUCCAAAUUGCUAAUUUUUAUAUUGUACCAUUGCUCGAGGAAUUAUUAGAUGAUCUCAAUACUAUACAAUUCAUUUAAUUAUAUGAUUACAUAAUAUCUAACCAAAUUGUAUUUUUGUUAGUUGAUUUGUCAAUACCGAUGAAUUCUACAGUGCUCAAGUUAUAACUACCAAUACUUAUAACAUAUAAAAGAGAUAAACACAAGAAAGAGAGAGUCAUAUUCUAAUUUGCCAAAAGUGAUAAGAAUAUCUUUUCUUUUUAAAAUUUGAAUAUAUAAGAGGAGGAAUUAGAAAAAUAACUUUUGAAAAAGAGAGACAUUCUUAUCAUUAUUUGUUAGCUUGUACAUGAUUUUUUCUCUUUCUUUUGUGCAUAUCUCUUAUAUGCUCUAAGCAUUAGUAGUUACAACAUAAGAAUCAUACAAUCUUUGUAUCAAUGCCAUUACUAUCACCUUCUUUUUUGUUUUCAAAUGGAAGUUUCACUCUAUAUUUUAAAAAUAUCUCAUAUCUAAAUUUUGAAAAAAAGAUAAGGAGAUUAAAAAAUUAUGCUAUAUUAUUUAACCAACAGUCCUAUAGGAUGCUGGAAAAUCCAAGGUUAUGACGUGGCUUGUGAACUUCAUGAAUGAAGAUACAAACUAUGUGUGUGUGUUAUUCAAUGACAAUUGAACUUUAGGAUAAUGUUAACAAAAAGUAUUUUGAUCUAGGUAAUUAAUCCUAAAUUUACGACUUGACUUUGAAAGAUGGUGAGAUUCGACAAAGAGAAAACAAUGUCACCAAAUACUUUGACACACUAAAAUGAUUGCAAGACAUUGAUAUGUUUAAUGAUUACAAAUUAAUGAAAAUCUAUAUAGAAAUGCAACUGUUACAAGAAAUAGAGUAGGACUUUUAGAUUUACAAAUUCCUGACUAGACUUAAUGUUGAGUUUGAUAAAGUAAAAGGAAAACAAUGGGUAGAGAACUCCUAUCUCUAAUUGAAGAGGCAUUUCAGAAGUUAAAAGAGAGGAAAGUAGCAUAGAGGUAAUGCUUAGAAAAGCAACAAGCUUAGUGACAAACACAAACAUGUGGUUUCUGUAGCAAAUAAAAAAGCUUUUUUAGUAGAGUAUAUGAUAAAAAGCUUUUUUAGUAAAGAGUAUAUGGAACAAAUUCUAAAACUUAUAAAGUUCAAUUCAUUAUCUAUUAUUCCUAGUGUUUUACUGGCUCAAAUAAGUAGUCAUCCUCGUGCUUUAUCUUGUUGUUCAAAUUUUGCUUUUUGAAUCAUUGAUUCAGGUGUAACCGAUUAUAUGACUAAUCAUUCACAUCCAUUUACAAAUUAUUUAUCAUGUCCUAGUAAUGAGAAAAUAAAAAAAUAUAGAUGGUAGUUUCUUACCUAUUGGAGGGAAAUGGUUAAUAACAAUUUUUGAAAGUAUAAAUUUUAAAUUUUUUCUCCAUAUUCUUAAACUUAUUUGCAAUAUUAUGUAUAUAAGUAAAUUAACCAAAAAUUGUAAUUGUCUUGUUAUUUUUUAUAAUUUCAUCUAUAUGUUUUAGGAUCAGAGUUUGGGAAAGAUGAUUUGCUAGGAUAAGAUCUUUAUUACCUCGAUGACAACUUCUUCGAUAAUAAAAUACCUUGAAGCUUUAUUAAUAUAAGUUCAAUGUAUAUUUAUGAACAAAUAAUGCUUUGGAAUCUUAAACUAAGAUAUCAUCAUAAUUUUCUCUAUCUUAAAUAUUUAUUAAGUGAGUUGUUUAAAAAAUUAAAUUGUUUAUCUUUUCAUCAUGAAAGUUGUCAUUUAUCAAAAAGUUAUUGUACAACAUUUCCUUCAAAACCCUAUUGUGUUGUGGUUUAAAACUAUUUUAUUUUAUUUAUAAUGAUUUGUGAGUCUCUUCAAAAAUCACUACUUAUCCAAUUUUUUUUUUUUCACAUUGAUAGAUGAUCAUAUAUGAUUAUGUUGGAUUUAUUUGACAAGGGAAAAAACUGAGGUAGUAACAUUAUUUAAAUAUUUUUAUCAAAUAAUAGAUAGAAAACCAAUAUUAGACAAGGAUUAUCAUACUUUAUUAUGAUAAUGGAACAUAAUACUUUAACAAGUAUUUGUGAAAUUUUUUUGAAAAAAAAAGGGGUUCAACAUUGGUUUAUAUAUUGUAACACUCCUUAACAAAAUAGAAUUACUAAGAGAAAAAAAACAAAUAUUUACUCGAAGAGGCUCAUGCCAUUGCAUUUUCUAUGAACAUUCCAAAACAUUUACAAGCUGAAGUUGUUUUGACAACAUCCUAUUUGAUUAACAUGAUGCAUGCUUGAGUUUUGCAAUUUCAAACACCAUUAGAUUGCCUAAAAAAAAAUCUUUUCUUGAUAAAUACAAUCUAUUUUGCAAAUAAAAUUUUUGGAUGCAGUCUUUGUUUACAUACCAAACAAACUCCAAUAUAAAUUUGAUCUUAAAACUAAUAAUGUGUUUUCAUCGAAUAUGUCCUAAACAAAACAGAACACAAAUAUUACAAUCCUCAAACUAGAAAAAUUUAUGCAAGUAUGAAUAUUUAUUUUAUAAAAAAACAACUUUACUUUAUCAAAAAUAAUCUUGAGGAGGCAUAUGCCUCUAACAAAAAAGGAUAAAAAUAUUAUUAUCCUUAAAUCAGGAAAAUUCAUACAAGUGAAUAUUUUUUUUUAUAAAAAAUCAACCUUACCUUACCAAAACUCAUUUUGGAUAUUUAUUUUGAAUCAAAUUAUAUUUUCACCAGUAAUCCAAAUUAAUUUUGAACCCUUCAAAUCGAUCAAGUCACAUCAAAUUAAUCCCUACAUAGUUUAAAUUUGUAUUUUCUACUGCAAAAAAACAUUAGUAUUUCCUACACAAUUUUUUAUAUAUUUACAAAUCUAGUCACUUAUAGUUUGAUAAAAGAAAUAUUAAAAUCCUACAAACCAUUUAGUUAUGGAAGCAUACCUCCAGAAAAAUAAAGCAGUUCAAACUUCAAAUAGUCUCUAGCCUGAUGGACAGCCAAGACUGAUUAGUAAAAAGAGAAGCUUACCUUGUACUUGUAGAGAGUAUCCGAGGACCUUAUAAUUGCUACGUUUCCAUGUUUAUAAAUAACAGAUAAAAUAAAUAAAUGAAUGCCCAUGAUCAACAAUUCAAUUAAUUGAAUAUUAUUCUCCUCAGGAAUCCAUACAAUCAACGGUGAAUACAUAGACAGGAAAACACGAUGACAACAUGAUGUUGACAUUUGUGCCUACAGGACACCGACAGUAUUCGUUUAAAAGAAAAAUAUCAGGGUGAAGUGUGUUAUGAACUUGAAGUCCUAGCAGUUCAUACAUUCUCAGUGUCAGCUAUUUUUUUUUUUUAUAUAUAUUUCUCAAUCGCUAUACGAUCACAACCCCGUAUACGCAAACCUCAUUUGUUUUUCUUUCCGCCAGCCAAGAUACGUUGAAUCUGAAGCCCUCGGCUGAAAGCUUGGUUAAACAGCAGCCUGGUCUGGAAUUCUGAAACGAAUGGGAACCAGGCAAGUACAGCCACUGGUGCAAAGAUGACCAAAGCCAUCAUGUACUCGUACCCACGGGCUAGAGCUUUCACAGAUCCCCACAUUUUAAGGCCCUUCACUACUGGCCUGCAAGCUUGUGCUAUCUGAAAACGAAAUCAGCUUAAUUUGUAAAGAUCGAUAUUUAACUAGGAAAACUCAUGAUCACCAUGCAUUGUGUUAUGUAAACACAGAAGAGAAAUAUAAAAUGAGGGAACGAGGCUCCUUUUUCCAGUACGUUACAUUAAAUUCCAUAAGAAGGUGUUUGAUAUAACCAGUGGAGGGUGAUAUGCUUGCGAGAUAGAGGAAAUGAUUUUGCAUGAUUGUCAUGUACAUACCUGCAGAAUUGCCAAACCAGUUGGCAGAAAAGCUAGCAGGCUCUGAAAGAUGUCUCCAACUGUGAGGUGAAGGGUAGUGAACAGGAUAACGAGAGUGAUCACAGAUCCAAUAAAGAGAAACAGCUUAAGAAGUCUAAACAUGAGCUGAAAAUCUGCACUGAACUUCUUUCUUCCCAUGGAAACAAUCUGCGGUUCAAAGGCACUAGAGUUGGUGAAUUGCAUUCCACAUGACAAGUUCAUUUUCAAAAGAUUUAAGAAUUUAGAGUUUGAACAAUAACCUUUAAGAUGAUUAUCAUAGCGACAAUGACCAGCCACGACAGACCAUAUACCUGAAAUCAGAAAACAAAUUUACAGACAUGAACAUGAAAGAUUUCGAAGUUCCUUUAUCAAAUUAGACUAAGGUUUGUGCUACGUUUUAGAGUAGAAGAAUAUUAAAUUUCAUGUACUCACAAUAGCACUCCGGCUUCUUCCAGGCGUGCUUUCCUUGACUGCUUUUAGCUGGUAUACAAUUCCAUAUUGAUAGAUGAAGAAACGCAAAGAGAGAAAUAUCUCCCAGAACCGGCCUAAAAAUCCAGUGUGUUGCAGGUGCUCCUGUUCCUCAUCCCACCAAGACUCCCAGCUCUUGUUUGCUGGGACACCAAUACCACCUGGCUGCUUAUCCACUUCGACCAAUCAUCCCAAUCAUCCACAAUCUUCUGCCACUCAAAUCCAGAUGGAUUGAAAAGGAACGGAGCAAACAAAAAAGAAGUCACUAAGAACCACAUUGAGGCCGUGACAAGUGCAAAGCCUACUCCACUUGCUGCUUUUCCAUAUACCUGAUAACAUAUAAGCAAUAUUAAAAGCUCCAGUCCUUUCACAAAGUGACUCCUCGAGUACAUCCUAUAGUUCUCAGCAAAUUUCUGAUGCCGAACCACAAAACCACGCCCAGUAGCUCUGUAUUUUGCUCCACCAUGCAGGAUAGUGCGCCCAAAAUAAUGGACCUUAGUCCCAAGGGAAAAGGUGAAGAAGACAGAAGCAAGCUGAAGCUGCAUGAUUAUUAUGUCACCUAUUGCUGUUCUGAACCCUUUCUCUAGCCCCAUCUCCAUGACCAUGGGCAACGCCAUCAGAAAACCAAUCUGAACAAGAGACUGUGAGGCCAUGGCUGCUUUUAGGGGAUCAUUUCCCCUAGCCCGUGCGUACUUAAUUAUUGAAUCCUCCAAUCCACUUAAUGACAGAUAAAGUUUACAAUACAAGAAAGCAUAUACCGUAAGGACAACUAUCUGCAUAUUAAAAAGAAAAAAAUUAUCUGUUAGCUGAACUUCCCAAAUGUGGAAACAUCCUAACAUCCCAGCCACAAAUGCACACAGGAAUAGUAUUCAACUCAAUAAUUGCAUAAUCUGUGCAGGGCACAGCAUAUCAGAAAGAGUUUUCUGCACAAUAAAGAUGCAAAUAACAGAUCACAUUUAAAAGGAGACACUACAUUGGGUAUGGUUUGAAAAUCAAAUGAACAAGAUAUUUAAGUUGUUUAAGAAAAAGGGUUUGCAAGCAAAGCAGUUCUUUCAUAAAGAUGCAUAGAUGACUCUGGAAAUGAAACUGACUUUCAUACUGAAAGCCUCUUCAAAAAUCUUAUCUUCUCAUUAAACACAAAAGGAAGCAGCCAUUUACUUGAGAGAAAAACCAAAAGGACAUGAGAGAUUCCAGACAGUUUAAUGUAGCAGUUUGACAACUAAGAAAAAAAAAAUAUAUAAAAAAACUACAUGAUUAUUUUUACAAAAUAUAAAUCAUUGGAUCAUAAAAGAGAGAAAAAAAUAUUUAGGUGAUCCACAAGAAAUAAUACCCCUUUUCUUUCCAAUUGAAGUUAUGAAAUCCAUAUGACAUUUAUUAGAAGAAUUGCUCUUCAAUUCUUUGUCAUUUAGCUCCUUGCUAUUUGGACUUUGAACCAAACUGAGCACUGCAAAAAAUGCAUCUUAUAAACAAUGCACUGACACGCACAUGAAAACAAACAAAUGCAUACAUAAGCAGACCAACACAUUUAUUCCCUAAUGAAAUAUCAUGGCCAAAUAUUUCAAUCUGUAAGCUGUUCUUUUUCCCAUAAUGUACGUAAUUUUCUAGGUAUAUUAUGGCCUUGAUAGCAACUAUUUUGGUUGCCUUUUUCAUGCUUAGGUUGAGUUCUCUGGAAAACAACAAGGUAACUAUUAGAUUUGUCAAUUAGCCUUGUCCACACUGCUUGUCCAAUUGCUUUUCAACAUGAAUUACACAUUAAAAAAGAAUUACCAUUGAACUGACGUAAAAUCCGAUCGUUGUAUAAUAACAGGACAGCAUGCGGAAGAAAUCAAAACGAUGACCUAGUCGAUAGAUGUCCCUGCUGAGUGUCUGCUCCCCAUUACCACAUGCUACCUUUGCUUCAAACAGAGAGAUUUGGUUGAGCCCGACAUCUCGACCUUUCCCAACUUGAAUAUACUCAUGAUGAGUGACAUUCCCUCGUCUCAGUGUUGAGUUGAAACCUACAUUGUAGAACAAGCAUAGAGAAGCUGAUGAAAUUGUGUUACCGGAGAUAAAAUAAAUUCCCAAACAUUUUGUUGGUUACUCUUCAACUACUUUUCUAGGUGACGAGAACAGGUUCCUUGAGAAUAGUACCAGCAAAUAUGUCCUCACUCAAAUUGAUGCCAUGAGAAGCCUUGCUGAUGCCACCACGUGUUACGUGAAAGAUUCUAUCAAACACAUCUGGAUGCCCAUAAUGGAACCGGACCCUAUAAAUACCAAUACAAAUUUCAAGAUAAAAUGUCAACAUUAAUAAGAUCAACAAAAAAGGCCACCUGAAUGGUUUUAUUUAACAAAAGCAAAGACAUUUUAUGUUCUUCACGCUAACUAAAGUGGAUGACCUAAUAUUUGGCAUGGCCCACUUUACAAGAAGCAAAUGAACAUAUAUGCAUAGGGGACCACAUGGACACACAUGCGUGCAAGAGAGGAGUGGAUUAUCGUAUCUAUGCAUAGUGAUUCUCAAAGCUCUAUUUUUUUUAGCACUGGUACAUAUUAAAAAUAUAUUUCUGUUAAGAUCAGCAAAAUCACCUUUUUUUUUUUUAAAGGAGUGGUACUAUUUAUUCCUUAAAAACCUUUAUCUCAAUAAUGUAUCUUAAAAAACGGCUGGUAUUUUGCAUACCAUAAGUUGUACUACACUGUUAUCUAAACAUAGAAAGGAAGAAAAAGAGAAGGUUUACUUCAAUGGUCUUGCUAGAACCCUUUGACCAAUGGUGACAAAACUCGUUUCUUGGUUUGACAUGAACCAAGCCAAAGAAGAGACACUGCAGCAUAGAUGUAAAAACACAUGAGAACAAUGACAAGGCAUGAUAUUUGAUGGUAAUAGAGCAUCAGAGAACUAGAAAAGAUAAACAUCCAUCAGACCUUCCAGUAAAGAUAUGCUCCCGAACACCUAAAAUUGUAGGUGGAAGCACUCCAUGAUCCUCAUUAAAUUCUUCAAGAAGGUUACGCAUUUUAAGUGCUUCUUCCAAGUAAUUAUCCUAUAAGAAAUUGAUAUGAAAAAUCAUCAGAAUAGGUAUAAAAAUCAUAAUGAAGCAACAAUACAUUCAGUUUUUCCAUGUUUUACCUGAUUCAUGUCAAUGGCUUGCAAAGCUUCCCCUCGAGUAAAUAUAAUGGCAUGAUUCUGAUUCUCAGGCUUUCCUUCUCCUAAUUUAGCUGCACCUGGCAAUCUUAUGCGAUAUAUUUCCUUUUGGAGAAGAUAGAAAACAAUUAGCUUUAUGGAAAAAGUUGCUCAAAUGUAAUUAAAUGGGAAUGUCAUAAAAAUUACCUGAUCAAGAUUAUCAACAGCUUUUACCAAUACAGAAUAAUAAACCUUCUGUACCUUGCCACCUUCUCUUUCUCUUUCUUCAACUUCGUCAAUAAAUGCAACACGGAGAGAGGGAUUACUGUAGAAGAUGUAGCAGGUUCAAAGUCUUGAACAAAAUAUGCUCAGCAAACUGCUUAUGAUAUUCAACAGUGAGAUGCUAUAAUUAGACAGAGAGCAUACUUGACCAUUAAAUUGAGAAUGUCUGUUGCACGACGAUCUCCACUCCUCUUCUGAUUUCCAUAGUUCUGACAGGUAGCAACAUAAGUGAAUUUCAUGUCCGCUACUGCCUCUAUUUGAGCACUCACAGAUCUUUGACUUUUCUUAUCUUCCUCAGUUGGAUCUGUGAUGGCUUUGUAACCUUCUAGUAUCUCUGCAUUUAUGAGAUUAUGUCAUACAUUGGCAUAUUACUCCAAAAUGACACUGCUUCACUGGGCACUCAUCAUUUCUACUGAAAGAAUUGACAGGUAUAUUGAAAACAAAACCAUGAGAAAAUGGUAUACAUCCCCAGGAAAAGUACAACUAAGGUCAGAGGCAUUGAGCUCAAUUUUAGCAGUAAAUGAAUUAGAUUCAAUGAAUUACUACUUUAUAACAUCAAUUGGAUUUGUGUUCUCGCAAAUAUAUGCUACUACAUGGCAAGGAAAACGAAUGAAAGACGCCUGACGAAAGUCUGAGGCAUUGACAGUGAAUUAAUUAAACAGCAAAGGAGUAAGGAAAUUAUUUUAUUCUUGAGAACUAAACUAGAGUAGCUCCCAGCGCAUUCUUUCAUGAAGAGCAUAAUUUUCUCUUCAAGACUGAAAAUGAAAUUUGAACUUUAGGUUUUUUCAAAAAUCAUUUUUUGUUCUUUCUCCAUCAGAUUACUUAUCAUAUUCCAAGUUUUGGAAAAAAAAAUGUUGUUAAUGCCAUUUAUUUAAGCCAUCAUUCCUUCUUGAAAUUUAUGACUACGUGAUUUCAUCAUUUUUAAUCCUAUAAAAAAAGGUCAGAUAUGACUGACAGAAGAAAGCUUAUAUCAAAGAGUAAGAAAUCAUAUCUUUUUUAGAAGAUUAUGAUGCUGCAAGAAUGGAACAUGGAUUCCACAUGUUUGUUAUUUUCAUAUUUCUAGAACUCAUUAUUUAAUUUGCUCAGGAGGGCUACUUUCAGGAAAUAAAGACCAUAUGCAAUUCCACAUUUGAAAGUCAUUUUCAAACAAAAUGAAGAAAAGCAUUCAGGCUCUCACCACUUUCUUUAGCCAUAUCAAGAAAAGCUUGAAGUCUUAAAGCUCGUCUGUAGUACAUCAUCCCUCUAACUGCAACAUUUAUGAUCAUUUGUAUAUAUAUAAAAGAAAGAUUAAUGCAUUUAGAUGAGAAAAUGUAAAGGGAUCAACUACCUGUGCGACAGAGAGUUUGACCUCUCAAAGAGCCCCAAUGGCGAAGUUGCAAAAUAUUUUCUUCAUUUUCCAAAACCUCACUCUCUUUUUUGCAAUUUAUUCUUUCCAUGAAGUUAUUCCAUUCAUCUGAUGACAAUGCAAAUAGCUACUGAAUUAAUUACAUCAUUGAUUCAUUCACUCAAAACAAAUGCAAAUCAUACAUGCUAUGGUACUAUGAGAGUUCACAAAACAACCAUACCUGGGUAAAUCUUUUGCAAGUAGUAGAUGAUUGAUACACCAUCUUCAUUCUCCAUUUCAAGAUCAGAUUUGGAAUAAACUGUCUCUUCACUAUAAUACGGGGUUAAGACACUGUGCAUAACAGAAGAGUAGUCUUAUUACAUAAAAGUUGAUGUUGUUAAAAAUCCCUUAAUUUCCUCAAAGAAACUCAUCAAAUUUCUCAAGACCUUGAAAAACUAUGUAAUUUAUCCAGGACAACUCUGUCUAGAAUCCACAACUGUACUUUCACAAAAACUAUAAUAAAUCAGACACUGGCUUUGGGAGAGUAAAGAGUCUCAAUAGAAGCAUGUAGGAUGAUAUUUGAACAAGCAGUAUUAUCACAAAGAAUUUGAGAAAAGGCACUGCCUUUCUUCUAGCUGACUGUUAGCUAGAAGUACACUCAACUUGAUCAUAUGUUCUGAACAUAUGUUGUACAAGUCCGGUCAGGUGUAACCCAAUGUGGCUACCAAUGACUAGUAUUUGAUCAAAUUCUAGCCACUUGUCCAUUGAAUGACAUGACGGUGGCAGACAAUCAUUAAACCAACUGUAAGUUAACAAUAAAUUGAAUUCAGCUGAAUUCAACAAAAUGUGAAGGCAGUUCUUUGCAACUUGGCAAAGUCACUGCAAUAUUCACUUUGCUAUCAUUUUUUAUUAAAAAUGAAUCAGACCUGAAUGAGAGCAUUUUACGGACUCGAGGAGGACGUGGCAUGUCCAUAAACAACGAAUUCGUAAAGAAUGAAAUCCUCCUACGUGCUUCAAGGUUUGUUGGGACAUCAUUGGCAAAUUCGUUCACCGUCAAAAGGAGAUGAAUGCGUCUUAUCUAAGAGAUCAUUAAUCAAAGCUUUCAUCAAUCCUUACACAAACUAGAAGGGUUAGUACUUCAAAUAAUCAUUGAAGCUCAGCAAGUGCUAGGGUACCUGUUCUUCCCAUUGUGUUGUAACUACAGGAGGGAACAUUAUAGCAGGUUUUGUGUCAGUACCAGAAAACACUUGUCUUCCAGAAUCCUUGCCACUUUGCCCGAGGUCUACCAAUUCACUGAAAAUCAUCACACAAGGACAGGCUGGACUGUUAGCACUCAUAUGAAGGACAUGAGCGUGCCACUAAAUCCAAGUAGAAGAUGCAAGGUUCACCAACCGAUUCUCAUUCACCAUCAUAUCAUUAGUAAAUACUUCUAACAUGUCCUGCAGUAUCAACACCACGGUAUUUUGCUGGGAGGGAUCAGCAUCUUUCUGCAAGGUGGAAGGAAAAAGGAAGCGGUCACUUUCCAAUGCACGGCUGCAAAGAGAAUUUCAGAUUUACAAAAGCAAGCUGAAUAAACCAUUAGCCGAGUUUCAUAAAUGACUCACCAAUAAUCUCACGAGCUCCACAAAUUUUUUACAUAAUGCUGGUAAGGGACCCAUUUUGAAAUUUGUAAGAAGUGUGUUCUUUGAAAUAUUACUCUCAACUUCUUUAAAGAUGAUGCUAAGUAUCCUGUUACAUUAGAACCACAGUUACACAUGACACUGAACCAUCAUCCCAAUUUCAUUCAAAUGCCAGAUAAAACUCUGCAGCAGAUAGAUUAACAGCCAAAACGAUUGACUUUGUUAAACGCAUAUAGAUAUUAGUAGAGCACUAAAUACUGGACUGGAGCUCAAAAUGUUAUAGAAGGAAUGAAAAUGCUGAAGCAGAAAUACUAUAACAUAGAUUGGACUCUUGCAAACUUAAGCUUUAAUUGGGAAUAAUGAAAUUAUCAGCUAAGAACCUGGUCUCCAAAGGAGGUGUAUCUGCAACAUUUAAAAGAUUUAAAUCCACAGGACAAGUCAUCUUUCUAUGGUAAGUUUCUUUCUGAUCUUUUCUUUUUCUUUUCUUUCUUUUUUUUUUUUUUUUUUUUUGGGGGGGGGGUCUGAUUAGUUGUUUAAAGAGAGGAUGGAUAAAAUGGAUAUGGAUUAUCAGGGGUAAGGAAAAGAACACCGUAAACAACCUUUUCUCAAUUUCUCCAACUACCAAAAUAUUCAUGACAUGUUUAAGGGAUUCGUAGCAUUCAAUGACUGCACAUUUCAUGUAUUCAUCUGCACAUAUGCGUUUCCAGAGGUCCGCAUCCCUUGAUCGGAAUUGCACUGCCAUAUCCAAAGCUAUUGGGAUCUGUAAAUGUAGCAAAUAUUCAACAGUUAAAAACAAGUUCCAUUCACUCAAUCUGCAGAAAGAAAAUACAUGCUGACCUUGCUUGCAAGCAUAAUCGGUGGCCACUGAAUUAAUUUGAGGCUAGGAUCUGAUGUAUAUGGAACCAGCAACAGAUCCAUCUCCCUGAAUUAAAAGAAACCAAAGAUUUAGUCUCAACAGGGGAAGGAACAGAUAGAAAUAAAGUUUUAUCGAGCCUAUGAGGCCUUUCCUGUCACUAAUGAGAUCUUCUUCACGGAAACUACAUAUCACUUCAUUCCAUAACUGAGCAAAUUUGGCAGCUUCACUUCUCUUGCUUGCAGUAACCUAACAGGAAUAACAUUGUAAUAACUGAGUGAGAUGCAUGAAACUGAAAAACAAUGAUAAUGAUAUGGAGAAUUUGAAACAUCAAUCCAACCUCAGAAAAUCUCUUUGAAAAAGAGAAGCCCUUCUUCCGUUUCUUAUCUGAAGGAACCAAAUAAGUGUUAAAUGCACCAGGUAAGGACUGGAACCGUGACCUCAGCAUGCCCAGAGUUCGAAUCUGUUAGAAGAGAAGGAGGAAAUUAAUAGGCCACAGUUUUUAGCCUUAAGUUACAAAAAAUCCUGCAACCUAAGCUCACUGACAUAACUCACCCAAAGAUUUAGUGACAUUUGAAAAAUCACUAAAAGGAGAGUGAAAGUUAAAUGAGAGUUAUAUUCUCAAAAGGUGUUUGAUAUCUUACAUAAAUUACAAGAAAAGGAGAGUGAUAGAAAAUAUUGGUGAACUUCAAAAAAUCAAGUAAACAAUGUGGAACACAGAAAUAGCCAUUGGAGGUAAAAUGGUAUUCACUGAAAAGGACGGCUAUUGCACAUCUCCAAAGUAUGCACUAAGUUCCAUCUCUCAUUAGAGCAGGAAAUACAAUGUCCCAGCCAAGUUUACAUAAAACAGGCCAAUUAUCUCACUAGAAUAUGUAACAUGGAAGCAAGAAACGCAUCCAAAUGCCUCAUUUCAAAUGUAUAUGAAGGUUUGUGACUGUAUAUGGUUUAUGUAAACGCAUCCAAAUGCUUCAUUUCAAAUGAACACAGAAAAUGACCAUCCAAAGCAAGAAACACAAAAAUAAUUGAGAUAAUUACCUCUCCUAGACGAUCAAAGGCCCCGGCAAAGCCACCAUAUAUGGUUGAGAAAAUAGAAUACCAAAUUUGAGUAUCCAUAAAAUAGACCUGGAUUAUAUUGAAACAUGUCCGGAGACAUCAAUCAUAGAAUAAAUAUAAAUUUCACCAAAUAAAAGAUAUGAAAAAAGAAAAAUAGGAAAGAGAUAGCAGCAGACAAACCAAAAUUACUGGUAACCAGAGUGACAAAACAGCUCCAUAAUUGUUUUUAGCUGUAUAAACAGGGUAAGCUUAUGUGGAAUAUAAAACCUCAGUUGAAAAGCACAAUAAAAAUGAAGUGAAAGAGUGAUGCACACCAUUUGGAAAAAAUUCAUGCCACUCAUAAUCUACAUUCCGAAUGUUCAUUAUAUCUUUCGUUGGCUUCACCAGAGGUUUUAUCUGGGCAAAGGACAUGUAAAAGGGUUAAAGGAAUACCAAAUGAAUGACCAUAAUAACAAUGACGGUGAUUAUGCUGAUAACAAAAGCCAACUAAAAAUAGCCAACCUGGACAAAAUAGCUGAAUGCUAUCUUUGAACAUAAAAGUAACAACCAAAAAACAGUAUACCUGAAACAAAAAGAAAAACCUAGUAACAAAGUGAACUUGAACCAAAUAUGUUGGUGACUGCAUAAAUAUAAACUCUCAUCAGACUCACUUUAUGAGUACAAAUUGACUCUCAUGCAUUCCCCUGCCAACAUAAAUUCUUGGCUGCAGAAAUAUAGAUUUACUCAGUUAAUCAGGAGAAGAGAUAAAUUUUCUAUAGCUGGAUGGCAAAAAAAAAUCAUGAAAAUGAUAAUGAGAUAAUGAUAUCUAGGAGAAACAAAUAACUUGUGGGAAAAUCAGGCCAGUGAGCAUACCUGUGACCACCAUAAGAGAAAUCUGAUAAUCAGCCAGUCUGAGUUUUCAAUCCAUCUUCGGAGCAUGGGAAAGAUAAACAAAGCAGUUGCCAAUAUAUUUGGAAGCAUGUAUACAGCCACUGCCAAAAGGUAUAGUGCAGGUAUGUCCUUCACUUCUUUAAAGAAUGACAGCAAAUCUUUGAUUUUAUCAGGGGCCACUUUGAAGGAAUGCACAUAACAUAGUGGAAGAAUGAUUGCCCAUGCAAGACUAACAAUGAUCUUGAGAACAUUUCUCAGGACAUCAGUGAAUUUCCACUUGUGGAACCCUGGGAAGUUCAGAACAAGGUCCAGAAUACCUAAAAGGAAGAAUGGUGAGACAAAAUAGUCAAUUGAAACAAAAGCUAUUUCAGAGACAGCAAAUCAGGUCCUGGGUUAAUGACGAGAGCAUUGAGGGCUCAAGUUGAAGGUAAUAUCAACAUAAAAUAAAAUAUUAAAACAAAAACAAAAAAUUAUCAGGUUUUAUCACCAAUGCUGAUUAAUAUUUUAACUCUCAUGUCAUCUUACAAGCUUCACCAAAUCAUCAAUGGAGGAGUUGGUCACGGAAAAUGCAAAAUACAUGUGAAAUAAUGUUAUCAAAAUUAGGCAGUGAUUGCAUAGUAAAAGAGUCAUAAAAAAGUCCGAAAAUUGUUGAAGAAGAAAAGAAAUGUAAUAAGAAUGUUAAAGAAACAAUUGGAAAUUUGAGGCUUAUAUUUUUUUAUGUGAUGAAUUAUACUCUUUCCAGGUUUUCUAUAAAACAAAUUCAAUAACAUUACCAUGUUACCUUUGAUUAUAAAGGAUAAUGAAAGAAGAAGGUUAUGGAUAACAAUAAUUUCACAUUAAUAUUGGAUUUAAGAGAGGAAAUAAUAAGAUGGAUAGAGGGAGCAUUAGGCUAAGAGCAUCAUACUUUGGAGGAAGCGAAGACAGGCUGCUGUGAUGAAAAUGCUGGAUAGCUGAUAUAAGACAUCCUUUUGAACAAUGUUCAGAAUCGAGACCCCACUCCAAGCAAUGAUGAUCAUUGCCUGCAACAAUAAACCCAUGUCUUACUGGAAAAGAUUAUAUUAAAAGAUAAAAACUAGAAAGAUGCGCCAAAAGGUUAAUAAAGUUGAAUGCCUGAAGAGCAAGAAUAUAAAAGGUCCACAAUCUGUCAAAACUUCGAAAAAUGUGCCAGAAGGUUCGUGUCUCUACAAAAUAUGCUUUGCCCAUGCUUCUGGGUUUUUCUGAAGAAGCCUUUUUCCCCUGACAAAGAAAUCAUGUUAAGCAGAUAGUGGUAAAUCAUUUCAAAAGGUAGUGUAUGCUGGCAACAUAAGCGCACUGUACCACAUCUCUUGUAGAAGUAAAAAAACUUCCAUCAUCACGCAUAGGCCAACCAAGAGAAAAGCAGUCCGAUGACCUGAAAGAUAUAAGCAAAGCUAAGUGUUAACCAGAACGAAGUGAUACAAAAAACUCAAAAAGAUCUGUUCUUCAUCAGAAUCCUAAUAUUAUAUCCAAACUAACCAGAAGUAUUCAUUUAGAUCAUCAUAAUUGCACCACUGUGAGUGUGAAGCUUUACCAUUUUUGCUUUUAUUGGCUUCCUGCAGUAAUUGGAACACAAUUUUCAUAUUGAGAACAAAAGGACCAGAAAUUUGAUGACGAAAUGAAUCCUUGCACAAUGACAUACCUUCUCAAUUACAUGGUAAAUUGGUGUUAUAACCUUCCUCAGGAAAGCCUCGUCGUCUCCACCAUAAGAAGGCUUAAUAUUUUCUCCAGUAACGAUGCUGACGUUUCCAGCCAACAGGCCAUGGAGUUCAUAUGCCAUCUGAACAAAUGAGAGGUCAACCUUAUGAAGCUUUUAUAUAACAGAAAAUGUGCUAAUUACUUUAAAAAAGGAUAAAUAAAGGAAAGAGCAUCCAACGCACACCAGCCUUCCAUCCCGAAUUCUGGUCUUAGAAUCACCCAUUUUCUGUCCUGAACUAGCUAAGGAGUCCGUUAAUGUUAUGAUCAGUACUUACGUUAUGAAAAAUAUAGCAUAGACAUUCAGGCAUGAAGCGAACAUUUGCUGCCUCACCCCAGAUGAGAAGAAAAAGGCCCAUGUACAGUAUCUUUCUCUGCUGGAUUUCUGGCUGGCCUUGAGGGAGCCUACAAGAACCACACAUGUAGAUGUUAACAUAGCAAAUUAAUGUUCAUUCAUUUGCAGCUUGCUUUAAGUUCUGAAUGAAUAAAAAAGAGUCCACCUACUUACCUUAAACUAUGUUUCCGCCCUAAAAACUUGCACCAUGUUUUAUAAUUCUUAAAAAGCUUGCUCAUAACUUCAUCAACAGCUCGAUCGUCAAGCUGCAUAGGAGAUGAGAGUCUAAGCAUAGCACAGCCAUUAAUUAAGUAUGGAAGUAAUAGUUAAUCAAGGAUACUUGGUGAAUUAGAAAAGGGAUUAACUAGAAAGGUUCAAAAGUUAUUCAAAUAAUUUGCAGAUUAAAUGCACAUGCACAUAUACACAUUCACUUCAGCUCCAAACCCUGAAUCAACACCACUAACAUCACAAUUACCCAUAUCCUGGAUGCUAUAGCAAUCAAAAGGUAGGAUAAUGCUAGAGCUGUAGCAACAUCUAAUAUACAACAGGAAAAAAAGAAGAAGGAUUAAGGAUUAGAGCAUACCUUGCUAAUAGGUUCAGGUUUGGGAUUAAGCCUUAUAUGUUUGUUGGCAAGUAGUAAAAUCAAAUGCUCCCUCUGGUUCCUGACAUUGUCUCUCUGCGUUCAUCAAAUUUAAGAACCAAAUUUUUAGUUACUGAAGAUUCUACUGUAACUCUCAGCAAUUGAAUUCUCUAUUCUUUUCUUUUUAAAAAAAGUGUUCUUGGGUCAAGAACAUGCCUGAAAGCCAAACAUGGCCCUCAGCCAAUCGAGAAGGUCUAAAUCACCAGCUUUCUGCCUUUGUGGAUCAAAUGCAGUGGGCCAGUUCAAGCCACGAGUGUUCCACAGUGCAGCAACAGCAGCUUUGACCUGGUAAAUAUGGACAGGAAAUUCUCAAGCAGCAUAUUAAACUAUGCAUCGAGAGAAAAGGAGUAAAAUCACAACAGCAGCAAGAUAACUAUGAAGAAUAUGUAUAACCUCCUCAAGCUGCAUUAUGGACUGUGAAGCCCCGGCAGAAUCCAGAGGAAGGAUGUUGAAAGGGGCAUAUAUUUCUUUCUUUUCCUGGACAUCUCUGGCUGCUGCAAUAAUCUGCUCAGAGUAAAGUCAUUAAAAAGUACUUCACUACCCUGAAAAGGAUUCAUGCCGUAGAAUGGCCAACUGCAUAAGAGCUAGUAAACGACAGACUAUAACAGGGACUAACCUCAGGAGCAACUUCUUCUACUUUCUCUGUUUUGUUAACAGCACAAAGCACUUCAAAAAGAACACCAGCUGUCUGAUAGGCUUUUCCAAGUUGAGCUCUGCAAAGAUAUUAAAGGUUCGUCAUCACAACAGCAUUUAUGCUCUAAAGAAAAAGGAGUAAAUAAAACAACUGAGAGAGUGAAAUAGCAUUUAUGCUAUUACCGGUCUGCUUGCUCCCCCUGGUCAAGUGCUCUAACGUAGUGUUCAUAGUACUGCUGAUAAAAGCUCUCGAUUUCCCGCGCAUCAGUCUUUUUAACCCGAGAGGCAAGACUGGAAUUAUUGUCCUGAGAUAAAUAAAAUAGUUUUCACAUAACUUCUUCUGAUGCUUCAAAACAAUCCAUGGCAAAACUAUGUGAAGUUCUUUUGGAUUAUUAUUAAAGGGCCCGAUAAUUGGAUUUGGUUUUAGAAAAUGCAAAAAAGAAGCAUUCCUACAAACAAAUUGAGUGCAGCUAUCUAUGUGAAUGAACACGCCAAGAAUGCAAUUUCAUCAUGAGACUAGCAAAGGGAACAAAUAAAUUAUCGUGACAACAACCUACUUUUGGAGAUUAUCGCAUUCCCGCUAUUCAGAAAUUCUCCUUAUUCCACAAAUGACAAAUGCAAUGCAAUUUAAUUAAUUAGUUUCUCUCUCCCACUUCCAAAUGAGACCACAAAUUCUCUCCGCCAGCUCCAGGCAUUUAAGAUUGCAAAAUGACCAUUUAGACCCCAUUAAAAGUACUAAAGUGCAAACAGGUUCUUAUGAACUUGAGCACAUUUGAUCACCACUCCUCUUUCACAACAUUUUUUUUAUUUUUCCAAAAACUCCGCCGUUGAAUAUGUUUCGACCAGGCAGAGGGGAUCUUUCGCUUGUCAUAAUUCUUAAUAGAUAUAAUUACUGUUCCAUUACCCCCAUUAUGCUCACUCAAAUCAGAUAUGAAAAACAACACAAGAAAGAAUGUCAUCAAAACCAUUGAUGAUUUAGAAACAGAAUUUAACAAAAGUAAAAUUACCCUCUCCAAUCUCUGCAGCAAAGAUGUCUUGAACUGCCUCACACCACGACCACUUGAAUUUGGAUCCAGUCUAUGGGCCUUCUCAAACGCAUAAAACCUACCUAUAUUUCCCCAAAUCGAAAAAAGAAAGAAAGAAAAAGAAAAUAAAUAAUAAACAAUGAUUAAAAGAAUAGUGAUUUCCUUGUUACAACAUAGUCGCUAAAAUUGAUGCAACAUCAUUACGUACAGAGAUAGGCAACGCGAGGGCGUUCAUGUUCGAUUUCAGCUGCAAUGCGGAGAACAGGGGCGAUGGAACCGAGUGAGGAAGGGACGACCUCAUUAUCAAAAACCUCAAGAGAGAAUGUAGUGGUGGCAGCGCUGCGAGACGGCCUCCGGCUCAGCAUCUGUGACCCAGAUAGUUCCAGGUUCGACAUUGUUAUUCAAUCAAAUGCUAGCUCGUGAGCUAGCCACCUUUUGCUCCUAACAGUGUCUUAUUUCGGUAAUUUUAACCACCUGCUAGAGAGUAAAUUAAUGAAAAUCAGUAAUUAUGAAUUUAUCUUCUCCUUUUUUCAAGUCUGGUUGGGAAAUGAGAAAAUAUGUAGGAAAGAGAGGAAAAAACGUAAGAAACAAGCUAAUUAUCUGAACAUUGCUUUUGCGCUACAGCUACAUUUUCAGCUUAAUUAUCGCUUAAAUUGGAAAGAAUAAAUUAGAGCAAAAACUCUCGUGAAAUUCAUUCAUUUAGCAUCUAAUUGAAUUAAAACUCGGCUUAUUCCUUAUUAAUGGUGCAGUUACAUUUUCUCGUUUGGUUUUCCUGUUAUUUAUCGGCAACCAAACAGAUGAUAAAAAAGUAAAAAAAAAUAAAUAUUAUGAGAUCUCAUUUAAUUCUACUCUCAGAUUCUCGUUUUUCUUUUUCUUUUUAUUUUUCCCAGCAACCAAACAGAAAACAACAGUGCACAACUGCACAUACGUUCCCUCCUUUCUUUUCCAGUGGUUUCUCAUAAACCAAACAACACAAUGAGAAACAAUAUAUUAGCAAUUAUAACUUCUAACCUAUUUUUCCUUUCCUUCUUAGCAAACAAACAGAGAGAUAAACAAACAAACAAACAAAUAUUUCAGAAUUCUUUUUCGUUUCUCGAAACCAAACAGAGAAAAACAAAUAAAAUAAAAACGCACGUUAUAAUUAAACUCAAACUUCUCCGUCUAAUUUGUUCUUUCUCUACAACAAUCACUCAUUCUUUUUAAUCUUCCUACCGUUUCUCAGAAACCAAACAGAAACGACUUAAUCCUUCAAUAAUAUGUAUCAGGUUAAUAAAUACCAGCCAACUCCGUCUAGUAACAAGAAACUAUACGUAAGGACAUGAAGAAAUUGUACGAAAUAAAAAAUAAAUCUAGCAUUCAUUAUUUCUUUUCUUUUCUCAGCAACCAAACAGAAACCACAACACAAAGGAGGAGGAGGAGAUUCCAGAAACAUGAAGCUUACGCGUUUUACAAGGAGAGAUGGAUAGAGGAGUAUUUUAAUCACCUAAUUCGCCUAUAAAGAAACAAAAACAAAAUCAAGUUUAUGAUGGAAAACCGGAAAUUUCUAGAGAGAAAGAAAAAUGUUAGAGAGAGAUACAGAUUUCUUUUUGGAAUUUAGUAACCUUUCGCAGAGAGAGGCAAGAGGAGAGGCAAAGAGGGAAAGAGAGUCUACUGAGAGAUUAAAUGGACGAGGAAACAUAAAAAUACGCGCGCGUUGUUUGUCCGUACAUUUUUGGACAUGUGGCGGGGAAUGAGAGGGAGGGUGGUAAGAGAGAUGAAAAGGCGAGUGGAGGUGCGCCGUUUUCGGGAUGGAAGGAGGCCGUUUUGAAGGGGUCGUCCGAUUUUCUCUAUUUGUUUUGUUUCCUUUCUUUCGCUGUCUAUCGACCUUGUAAUAACUUAAUUUUGUUUUUGACGGAAUUUUAAUUGUGAUCGAUAAUUUUGGGUUUGGAGAUUGACUGGGACCCAUUGGACGAGGCCGAUGUUUUGGCCUUCGUGGAAUGAGGUGGUUUGCUUUCUAGUUUUUUUAAUUAAAAUAAUAUAUUUUUUAUUUUUUAAAAUUUAUUUUUCAAAAUCAAGUCUAAUUUAAAAAUAUAAAAAUAAUUAAUUUUAAGUAAAAUAAUAAAUUUCAACUCAUCUUUGUUUUGACGGCAAUUUCAAAUAUAGAUUAAGGAUUAAAUAGUGUGUGUGUGUAUAUAUAUAUAUAUAUAUAUAUAUAUGGUUUUGAGCUAUCAUGAUUGAAUCAUAGUUUUUUUAAAAUAACUUUUUAAUUGUUUUCUAAUCGAAAGAAAUUCAAAAGAUAAAAUAGAUAUUUUUUAAGAAAUAACAGUAACAGGUGAUUAUUUAUUUUAUAUGAAAUGAAAUCAAUUACCAUUUGGAAGUUGAUUAUAUAAAAGAAAGGUGUUUUUGAAAGAUCUAAUCGUAUAUAUGGAAGGAGAAUCUGUUAAGGAGAAAUUAUAGUAAUUUUUUUAUAUAUAUUAGUACUAACUUUUUCAAAUUAGUUUUCAAAAAAUCAUAUUUAAUUCAAAUGCUUUAUAUAACUUUUUAAUUGUUUGCUAAUCGAAAGAAAUUCAAAAGAUAAAAUAGGCAUUUUCUAAGAAAUAACAGUAACAUGUGAUUAUUUAUUUUAUAUGAAAUGAAAUCAAUUACCAUUUAGAAGUUGAUUUUAUAAAAGAAAGAUGUUUUUGGAAGAUCCAAUCGUACAUAUGGAAGGAGAAUCUAUUAAGGAGAAAUUAUAGUAAUUUAAUAUUUUGCUUUUUUAUAUAUAUAUUAGUACUAACUUUUUCAAAUUAGUUUUCAAAAAAUCAUAUUUAAUUUUAAAUGUUUUAUAUAAAUUUUUAAUUGUUUGCUAAUAGAAAUAAAUUCAAAAGAUAAAAUAGGCAUUUUCUAAGAAAUAACAAUAACAUGUGAUUAUUUAUUUUAUAUGAAAUGAAAUCAAUUACCAUUUGGAAGUUGAUUAUAUAAAAGAAAGGUGUUUUUGGAAGAUCCAAUCGUAUAUAUGGAAGGAGAAUCUAUUAAAGAGAAAUUAUAAUAAUUUAAUUUUUGUUUUUUUAUAUUAGUACUAACCUUUUCAAAUUAGUUUUCAAAAAAUCAUAUUUAAUUUCAAAUGCUUUAUAUAUAUAUAUAUAUAACAUUUGUUCUUGUAACCUCUUGUUUGAUUAAGGAUGAAAUAGUGUGUGUGUAUAUAGAGAGAGAGAGAGG
This 41312-nucleotide long non-coding RNA is filed under the name Populus tremula. RNAcentral's name for it is "long non-coding RNA (PTRE_LNC002407)". The record is from RNAcentral. Lineage: Eukaryota; Viridiplantae; Streptophyta; Magnoliopsida; Malpighiales; Salicaceae.